UACGGAGGAUCCAAGCGUUAUCCGGAAUCAUUGGGUUUAAAGGGUCCGUAGGCGGUUUAAUAAGUCAGUGGUGAAAGCCCAUCGCUCAACGGUGGAACGGCCAUUGAUACUGUUAAACUUGAAUUAUUAGGAAGUAACUAGAAUAUGUGAGUGUAGCGGUGAAAUGCUUAGAGAUUACAUGGAAUACCAAUUGCGAAGGCAGGUUACUACUAAUGGAUUGACGCUGAUGGACGAAAGCGUGGGUAGCGAACAGGA
RNAcentral lists this ribosomal RNA (255 nucleotides) under uncultured bacterium. Its description in RNAcentral is "partial 16S ribosomal RNA". It matches the Rfam family "Bacterial small subunit ribosomal RNA", at positions 524 to 777 of the family's 1533-position model. The record is from RNAcentral.